CCCCUCCUACGGGAGGCAGCAGUGAGGAAUAUUGGUCAAUGGACGCAAGUCUGAACCAGCCAUGCCGCGUGCAGGAAGACGGCUCUAUGAGUUGUAACCUGCUUUUGUACGAGGGUAAACGCAGAUACGUGUAUCUGUCUGAAAGUAUCGUACGAAUAAGGAUCGGCUAACUCCGUGCCAGCAGCCGCGGUAAUACGGAGGAUUCAAGCGUUAUCCGGAUUUAUUGGGUUUAAAGGGUGCGUAGGCGGUCGGAUAAGUUAGAGGUGAAAUCCCGAGGCCCACCUUUGGAAUUGCCUCUGAUACUG
This 305-nucleotide ribosomal RNA is filed under the name uncultured bacterium. RNAcentral describes it as "bacterial SSU rRNA". It matches the Rfam family "Bacterial small subunit ribosomal RNA", at positions 333 to 635 of the family's 1533-position model. The record is from RNAcentral.